This 119-nucleotide ribosomal RNA is filed under the name Salmo salar (Atlantic salmon). Lineage: Eukaryota; Metazoa; Chordata; Actinopteri; Salmoniformes; Salmonidae. The record is from RNAcentral.
GCCUACGGCCAUACCAGCCUGGGUACGCCUGAUCUCGUCUGAUCUCGGAAGCUAAGCAGGGUCGGGCCUGGUUAGUACUUGGAUGGGAGACCGCCUGGGAAUACCAGGUGCUGUAAGCA